This 433-nucleotide ribosomal RNA is filed under the name uncultured bacterium. Its description in RNAcentral is "partial 16S ribosomal RNA". It matches the Rfam family "Bacterial small subunit ribosomal RNA", at positions 29 to 507 of the family's 1533-position model. The record is from RNAcentral.
AACGAACGCUGGCGGCAGGCCUAACACAUGCAAGUCGAGCGCACCCUUCGGGGUGAGCGGCGGACGGGUGAGUAACGCGUGGGAACGUGCCCUUCUCUGCGGAAUAGCCUCGGGAAACUGAGAGUAAUACCGCAUACGCCCUUUGGGGGAAAGAUUUAUCGGAGAAGGAUCGGCCCGCGUUGGAUUAGGUAGUUGGCGGGGUAAUGGCCCACCAAGCCGACGAUCCAUAGCUGGUUUGAGAGGAUGAUCAGCCACACUGGGACUGAGACACGGCCCAGACUCCUACGGGAGGCAGCAGUGGGGAAUCUUAGACAAUGGGGGCAACCCUGAUCUAGCCAUGCCGCGUGAGUGAUGAAGGCCUUAGGGUUGUAAAGCUCUUUCAGCUGGGAAGAUAAUGACGGUACCAGCAGAAGAAGCCCCGGCUAACUCCGUG